This 1373-nucleotide ribosomal RNA is filed under the name uncultured bacterium. Its description in RNAcentral is "bacterial SSU rRNA". It matches the Rfam family "Bacterial small subunit ribosomal RNA", at positions 28 to 1381 of the family's 1533-position model. The record is from RNAcentral.
GAUGAACGCUGGCGGCGUGCCUAAUACAUGCAAGUCGAGCGAACGGACGAGAAGCUUGCUUCUCUGAUGUUAGCGGCGGACGGGUGAGUAACACGUGGAUAACCUACCUAUAAGACUGGGAUAACUUCGGGAAACCGGAGCUAAUACCGGAUAAUAUUUUGAACCGCAUGGUUCAAAAGUGAAAGACGGUCUUGCUGUCACUUAUAGAUGGAUCCGCGCUGCAUUAGCUAGUUGGUAAGGUAACGGCUUACCAAGGCAACGAUGCAUAGCCGACCUGAGAGGGUGAUCGGCCACACUGGAACUGAGACACGGUCCAGACUCCUACGGGAGGCAGCAGUAGGGAAUCUUCCGCAAUGGGCGAAAGCCUGACGGAGCAACGCCGCGUGAGUGAUGAAGGUCUUCGGAUCGUAAAACUCUGUUAUUAGGGAAGAACAUAUGUGUAAGUAACUGUGCACAUCUUGACGGUACCUAAUCAGAAAGCCACGGCUAACUACGUGCCAGCAGCCGCGGUAAUACGUAGGUGGCAAGCGUUAUCCGGAAUUAUUGGGGCGUAAAGCGCGCGUAGGCGGUUUUUUAAGUCUGAUGUGAAAGCCCACGGCUCAACCGUGGAGGGUCAUUGGAAACUGGAAAACUUGAGUGCAGAAGAGGAAAGUGGAAUUCCAUGUGUAGCGGUGAAAUGCGCAGAGAUAUGGAGGAACACCAGUGGCGAAGGCGACUUUCUGGUCUGUAACUGACGCUGAUGUGCGAAAGCGUGGGGAUCAAACAGGAUUAAAUACCCUGGUAGUCCACGCCGUAAACGAUGAGUGCUAAGUGUUAGGGGGUUUCCGCCCCUUAGUGCUGCAGCUAACGCAUUAAGCACUCCGCCUGGGGAGUACGACCGCAAGGUUGAAACUCAAAGGAAUUGACGGGGACCCGCACAAGCGGUGGAGCAUGUGGUUUAAUUCGAAGCAACGCGAAGAACCUUACCAAAUCUUGACAUCCUUUGACAACUCUAGAGAUAGAGCUUUCCCCUUCGGGGGACAAAGUGACAGGUGGUGCAUGGUUGUCGUCAGCUCGUGUCGUGAGAUGUUGGGUUAAGUCCCGCAACGAGCGCAACCCUUAAGCUUAGUUGCCAUCAUUAAGUUGGGCACUCUAAGUUGACUGCCGGUGACAAACCGGAGGAAGGUGGGGAUGACGUCAAAUCAUCAUGCCCCUUAUGAUUUGGGCUACACACGUGCUACAAUGGACAAUACAAAGGGCAGCGAAACCGUGAGGUCAAGCAAAUCCCAUAAAGUUGUUCUCAGUUCGGAUUGUAGUCUGCAACUCGACUACAUGAAGCUGGAAUCGCUAGUAAUCGUAGAUCAGCAUGCUACGGUGAAUACGUUCCCGGGUCU